UUUGUUACAAUUUUUUUUUAGAACAGGAUUCUAUAUUUUGCGUUCGAAUCGUUGUUUUUUGAAAUAGAAAUCGAUAUUUGAGAAAACGAUUUUGAAAUUGAAAUCGAUGUUUUUUAUUAAAAAGAAAUUAAAUUACAGAAUCGUUAAACAUUCGAAGUUUGAAUAAGGAAAAAAAUAUCUUUUAAUCAACACUCGUCUGAAAGCGAGUCUUCUGAAUCAGAAUCAGAAAUAUCUGAUCCGAAUGCAGACGGUAUUGUGGACUUUGAAGUAGAAGCCAUCUGCGUCAUGUCGAGUCCAGAAGUCUUCAAAGUCUUAUUCAGUUUCUUCAUAUAUGAUUUCAUAGCAUUAAACUUCUUCUUGUAUUUGGAGACGUCUUUUUGACUCUCGUUACACUUGUUCUGAAAAUGAAAACAAAAAUGAGUUCGGUAAUCAACAAAAUUAUUGAAAUAUAUUGUAAAUACCUCCAAUGCUUUGAAUUUUUC
RNAcentral lists this long non-coding RNA (482 nucleotides) under Zostera marina. Its description in RNAcentral is "long non-coding RNA (ZMAR_LNC004803)". Lineage: Eukaryota; Viridiplantae; Streptophyta; Magnoliopsida; Alismatales; Zosteraceae. The record is from RNAcentral.